Long non-coding RNA from Harmonia axyridis, 1358 nucleotides. RefSeq lists it as uncharacterized. The transcript has 4 exons. The record is from RefSeq and is a predicted model, not a curated record. NCBI's taxonomy places the organism in Eukaryota, Metazoa, Arthropoda, Insecta, Coleoptera, Coccinellidae.
UAAUCAAUAUUUCAGGGCUUCUUUCAUACAAUGCUUACUGUGCCGUGUUGUUUGUUUGUAAGCUAGGGAUAUUAUAGGAUUCAAAUAUUCAUCCCGUACAUGUACAAUGGCCAUACCUAACGCAACAGGUAUUCAUUGCAGUGCGUGAUACCACUUUUGAAGUAAGGUGUACAUGUACGAGGUGGUGCUGCUUGAAAACUUGAUAGUCCUGUUUCGAAUUGUAUCAGAUCGCUGUGCGUAUGAGGCAAUUCAGAAGCAGGAAACAAAAUUUUAUAUCUUAUAGAUGGUAGUAGAUGUUGAUGUACUAAGAGAGCAUAUAAUGCACAAAAAUCUUAAAAUACAUAAUAUGAAUAUUUUUGUUUCAUUAAUCCUGAAAUUGAAAUGGCAGCCAAUGGAAAUCAAACAAAAACCAUUGGUGAAUUAAGAUUCAGAUUCCAUCAUUUCCGUAAGUGCAGAAGAUAGACGUUUCAUGCAAUACGAGGAAAGAGAGAAUUGUCAGAACCAAUAUAAGUCCGUUUCGUACAAUCAAUAAUUGCCAUUUCCUUGAUUUUAGCUGACUAGAGCAGUAUCAAUGAGUGAUACCUAAGAGACUAGAUGAAAGAUGCUAGAGAAAUUUUAGAGACAUUAGACGAAACCCCCUUUAGAGAUAUUUGAGAUCUGGGAGACGAAAAAUUGUCGACAUUAGAGUUAUGAGAAUAUUAGAGAUUUAGAGUAUUAGAAAACCCAGAGGUCAUAAGAAAUGAGAGAAUAUUUUCCUGGGAUUAAAUUCUAGAGUAGUAGAAAACCUAGGUUUUCAAAAAUCAAUUCAUAUUACAGAGAGAAUUAUUCAAAUUCGAAAUCUGGAUCGACAGUCUAAGAUCUGAGCUUUUUGAUGAAUGAUUUGUUGGACGUCAUAGAGCCAAGUACGAGUAACCAAACUUGAUCAGAGGCCAACAAAUCCGAGAGAAGUAAUUGGGUACGAGACAUUAUCAUAAAUAGAAAUGAGGAGAAUUAUCACAAGAAAAUUCUCAAUAUCCGAGACCCUGUUGAAGUAAAUAGAGGUUUGAGGUUCUCCACGAAGUGCAGUCAAAUGUGACACACACUUCAGAGCAACGAUAAGCGAAGAAGAUGAGAUGAGCUUACUAUCGCAGACACAUUCCAAUAACGAGUUAUUAGGUUCAGAGGGAGAACCGGAAUCUGCGAUUGGGAGGGAGAAAGAGUAUAAUCUCAUCUCUUCAUCUAAAGAGAAAGUUCUACAAGUUUCAACUGACAAAACAGAUGAAACACAAUCUGAGCAACAAGAGAAAAAUUGGGAUUGCAGUCAUAUCAGUAGAAAUGUAAUUUAGAUCGAUGACUUGGAAUCACUCCAAAACUUAGUG